RNAcentral lists this ribosomal RNA (431 nucleotides) under uncultured bacterium. Its description in RNAcentral is "partial 16S ribosomal RNA". It matches the Rfam family "Bacterial small subunit ribosomal RNA", at positions 29 to 507 of the family's 1533-position model. The record is from RNAcentral.
AGCGAACGCUGGCGGCAGGCUUAACACAUGCAAGUCGAGCGCCCCGCAAGGGGAGCGGCAGACGGGAGAGUAACACGUGGGAACAUACCUUUUGGUUCGGAACAACUGAGGGAAACUUCAGCUAAUACCGGAUAAGCCCUUACGGGGAAAGAUUUAUCGCCGAAAGAUUGGCCCGCGUCUGAUUAGCUAGUUGGUGAGGUAACGGCUCACCAAGGCGACGAUCAGUAGCUGGUCUGAGAGGAUGAUCAGCCUCACUGGGACUGAGACACGGCCCAGACUCCUACGGGAGGCAGCAGUGGGGAAUAUUGGACAAUGGGGGCAACCCUGAUCCAGCCAUGCCGCGUGAGUGAUGAAGGCCUUAGGGUUGUAAAGCCCUUUUGCCCGGGAAGAUAAUGACGGUACCGGGAGAAUAAGCCCCGGCUAACUUCGUG